RNAcentral lists this transfer RNA (73 nucleotides) under Myotis lucifugus (little brown bat). It matches the Rfam family "tRNA". Rfam says of the family: Transfer RNA (tRNA) molecules are approximately 80 nucleotides in length. Lineage: Eukaryota; Metazoa; Chordata; Mammalia; Chiroptera; Vespertilionidae. The record is from Rfam by way of RNAcentral.
GGCCAGGUAGCUCAGUUGGUUAGAGCAUUGCCCCAACGCACCAAGGUUUCAGGUUCGAUCCCUGGUCAGGGCA